CGGGACGGGUGAGUAACGUGUGGGCAACCUGCCCUGCACUGGGGAAUAAUCAUUGGAAACGAUGACUAAUACCGCAUACGGGUUCCUGGGAGGCAUCUUCCGGGGAAGAAAGGAUUUAUUCGGUGCAGGAUGGGCCCGCAUCUGAUUAGCUAGUUGGUGAGAUAACAGCCCACCAAGGCGACGAUCAGUAGCCGACCUGAGAGGGUGACCGGCCACAUUGGGACUGAGACACGGCCCAAACUCCUACGGAAGGCAGCAG
Molecule: ribosomal RNA, 259 nt
Filed under: uncultured bacterium
Lineage: Bacteria
Description: partial 16S ribosomal RNA
Rfam family: Bacterial small subunit ribosomal RNA
Source: RNAcentral